UACUACUGAUACCAGGAUGUGCUUGCU
RNAcentral lists this non-coding RNA (27 nucleotides) under Rattus norvegicus (Norway rat). The record is from RNAcentral. Lineage: Eukaryota; Metazoa; Chordata; Mammalia; Rodentia; Muridae.